UACGUAGGGGGCGAGCGUUAUCCGGAAUUAUUGGGCGUAAAGAGUACGUAGGUGGUUUCCUAAGCGAGGGGUUUAAGGCAAUGGCUUAACCAUUGUUCGCCCCCCGAACUGGGUUACUUGAGUGCUGGAGGGGAAAGCGGAAUUCCUAGUGUAGCGGUGAAAUGCGUAGAUAUUAGGAGGAACACCAGUGGCGAAGGCGGCUUUCUGGACAGUAACUGACACUGAGGUACGAAAGUGUGGGGAGCAAACA
This 250-nucleotide ribosomal RNA is filed under the name uncultured prokaryote. RNAcentral describes it as "partial 16S ribosomal RNA". It matches the Rfam family "Bacterial small subunit ribosomal RNA", at positions 524 to 774 of the family's 1533-position model. The record is from RNAcentral.